AGGUCCAGCACAGGCAGCAGCAAUGCAAGCUUCCAUACAUUGCUUAGCCAGACCAGUGCUGGAA
RNAcentral lists this small RNA (64 nucleotides) under Chelonoidis abingdonii (Abingdon island giant tortoise). RNAcentral's name for it is "TUC338 (ENSCABG00000012834.1)". The record is from RNAcentral. Lineage: Eukaryota; Metazoa; Chordata; Testudines; Testudinidae.